Molecule: transfer RNA, 73 nt
Filed under: Neotoma lepida (desert woodrat)
Lineage: Eukaryota; Metazoa; Chordata; Mammalia; Rodentia; Cricetidae
Rfam family: tRNA
About the family: Transfer RNA (tRNA) molecules are approximately 80 nucleotides in length. Their secondary structure includes four short double-helical elements and three loops (D, anti-codon, and T loops). Further hydrogen bonds mediate the characteristic L-shaped molecular structure. tRNAs have two regions of fundamental functional importance: the anti-codon, which is responsible for specific mRNA codon recognition, and the 3' end, to which the tRNAs corresponding amino acid is attached (by aminoacyl-tRNA synthetases). tRNAs cope with the degeneracy of the genetic code in two manners: having more than one tRNA (with a specific anti-codon) for a particular amino acid; and 'wobble' base-pairing, i.e. permitting non-standard base-pairing at the 3rd anti-codon position.
Source: Rfam by way of RNAcentral
GGGGAUGUGGCUCAGUGGUUGAGGGCAUGUACUGCUCUUGCAGAGGGCCUGGGUUCGGUUCCCAACAUCCACA